UCGUCGUAACACACAGUUUUCGCGUCGGGAAGGUCCGGUCGGGAAUCUACCUGUUGGCCGGAUUCCGUUUCAGAACCCCUGCACGGUGCACCUGGAUUCGUCGCUCCAGCUUCUUUAGCGACCGCCGCUGGUUCAAUAAAAGUUGUCAUCAGAUGUGUCGCCCCCAGGAAGAAAUAAAUCUCAAAACGAUGAAUCCAUCGGACAAUCGAAAAAAGCUCAUCAAAACAGCAAUACAAUCCCCAGAGUCCAAGGUUAUUUCCAUACCACGGAUGUCGUGGGAGCACCGGCUCGUUAGGUUGUUAGUUUAUGGACGCUCCCCGCUAUCGAAUCAUCGCUGAUUGCAUGGGGGGGAAUUUAAAAUGAAGUACGGCUGAUUAAACAGAAUACUAAAACAUGAGCACUAUGUUCAAAACCUUUUUAAAA
Uranotaenia lowii is the source of this 423-nucleotide long non-coding RNA. RefSeq lists it as uncharacterized. The record is from RefSeq and is a predicted model, not a curated record. The transcript is spliced from 3 exons. Lineage: Eukaryota; Metazoa; Arthropoda; Insecta; Diptera; Culicidae.